Molecule: ribosomal RNA, 620 nt
Filed under: Heterosigma akashiwo
Lineage: Eukaryota; Raphidophyceae; Chattonellales; Chattonellaceae
Description: partial Bacterial large subunit ribosomal RNA
Rfam family: Bacterial large subunit ribosomal RNA
Source: RNAcentral
GGGUAGUUUGACUGGGGCGGUCGCCUCCUAAAGCGUAACGGAGGCGCGCGAAGGUUGGCUCAGAGCGGUCGGAAAUCGCUCGUUGAGUGCAAUGGCAUAAGCCAGCCUGACUGCGAGACUGACAAGUCGAGCAGAGUCGAAAGACGGCCAUAGUGAUCCGGUGGUCCCGCAUGGAAGGGCCAUCGCUCAACGGAUAAAAGGUACGCCGGGGAUAACAGGCUGAUACUGCCCAAGAGUCCAUAUCGACGGCAGUGUUUGGCACCUCGAUGUCGGCUCAUCUCAUCCUGGGGCUGGAGCAGGUCCCAAGGGUACGGCUGUUCGCCGUUUAAAGAGGUACGUGAGCUGGGUUUAGAACGUCGUGAGACAGUUCGGUCCCUAUCUUCCGUGGGUGUAGGAUAUUUGAGAAGAGUUGCCCCUAGUACGAGAGGACCGGGGUGAACGAUCCACUGGUGGACCAGUUGUCAUGCCAAUGGCAGUGCUGGGUAGCUAUGAUCGGAAAGGAUAACCGCUGAAGGCAUCUAAGCGGGAAGCCCCCCUCAAAACAAGGUAUCCCUGAGGGCCGUGGUAGACCACCACGUCGAUAGGCCGGAGAUGUAAGCGCAGUAAUGCGUUCAGUUGAC